GCGGACGUGACGAAACUGGCAAACGUGUACGGCUUAGGACCGUAUGCCGUAAGGCUUGUGGGUUCGACUCCCACCGUCCGCACAA
Molecule: transfer RNA, 85 nt
Filed under: Candidatus Staskawiczbacteria bacterium RIFCSPHIGHO2_01_FULL_37_17
Lineage: Bacteria; Candidatus Staskawicziibacteriota
Also listed under: 11 other names
Description: tRNA-Leu
Rfam family: tRNA
About the family: Transfer RNA (tRNA) molecules are approximately 80 nucleotides in length. Their secondary structure includes four short double-helical elements and three loops (D, anti-codon, and T loops). Further hydrogen bonds mediate the characteristic L-shaped molecular structure. tRNAs have two regions of fundamental functional importance: the anti-codon, which is responsible for specific mRNA codon recognition, and the 3' end, to which the tRNAs corresponding amino acid is attached (by aminoacyl-tRNA synthetases). tRNAs cope with the degeneracy of the genetic code in two manners: having more than one tRNA (with a specific anti-codon) for a particular amino acid; and 'wobble' base-pairing, i.e. permitting non-standard base-pairing at the 3rd anti-codon position.
Source: RNAcentral